UCUUGCUAGAACGGAUCCGACGGUGAGGGACGAAGCCCUGGGUCGCAAACGGGAUUAGAUACCCCGGUAGUCCAGGGUGUAAACGCUGCAGACUUGGUGUUGGGGACCCUUUGGGGGUGUUCAGUGCCGGAGAGAAGUUGUUAAGUCUGCUACUUGGGGAGUACGUCCGCAAGGAUGAAACUUAAAGGAAUUGGCGGGGGAGCACCGCAACGGGAGGAACGUGCGGUUUAAUUGGAUUCAACACCGGAAAACUCACCAGCAAAGACUGUUACAUGAAAGUCAGGCCGAUGACCUUACUAGAUUUUCAGAGAGGUGGUGCAUGGCCGUCGUCAGUUCGUACCGUAAGGCGUUCUCUUAAGUGAGAUAACGAACGAGACCCUCACCAAUAGUUGCUACUGCGUCGUCCGCGGCGUAGGCACACUAUUGGGACCGCUGGCGCUAAGUCAGAGGAAGGAGAGGUCAACGGUAGGUCAGUAUGCCCCGAAUUUGCUGGGCUACACGCGCGUUACAAAGGGCGGGACAAUGGGCUCCGACACCGAAAGGUGAAGGUAAUCUCGAAACCCGUCCGUAGUUCGGAUUGAGGGUUGUAACUCACCCUCAUGAAGCUGGAUUCCGUAGUAAUCGCGAAUCAAAAACUCGC
This 640-nucleotide ribosomal RNA is filed under the name archaeon. Its description in RNAcentral is "bacterial SSU rRNA". It matches the Rfam family "Archaeal small subunit ribosomal RNA", at positions 675 to 1316 of the family's 1478-position model. The record is from RNAcentral.